Molecule: ribosomal RNA, 253 nt
Filed under: uncultured bacterium
Lineage: Bacteria
Description: partial 16S ribosomal RNA
Rfam family: Bacterial small subunit ribosomal RNA
Source: RNAcentral
UACGGAAGGGGCGAGCGUUGUUCGGAAUUACUGGGCGUAAAGGGCUCGUAGGCGGCCAACUAAGUCAGACGUGAAAUCCCCAGGCUCAACCUGGGAACUGCGUCUGAUACUGGAUGGCUUGAAUCCGGGAGAGGGAUGCAGAAUUCCAGGUGUAGCGGUGAAAUGCGUAGAUAUCUGGAGGAAUACCGGUGGCGAAGGCGGCAUCCUGGACCGGCAUUGACGCUGAGGAGCGAAAGCCAGGGGAGCAAACGGG